This 430-nucleotide small RNA is filed under the name Arabidopsis thaliana (thale cress). RNAcentral describes it as "ATSL079740". The record is from RNAcentral. Lineage: Eukaryota; Viridiplantae; Streptophyta; Magnoliopsida; Brassicales; Brassicaceae.
UAACAGAUUUAUGACUCUUGCAGCUCAUCAAGAAACCAUUCCCUCCGCUGCUGCUACUCGAUUUCCGUCUCUGCGGUGCUGAUUUAGCGGUAAUAGGGAUUCGAGGAAUCUGAGUAGGUCGGUUUCUUCUUACAGGACUUGUUGCACAUUCUGACAUAACAGAGAAAUCUGCUGCACUUGCUGUCACUAUGCUCCACUCUACGCUUACUUCACUUGGCGCAUAACACGUAGGUGAAGCUGGAUCACUUCCUUGCCUCGUAAGAAAAGGUUUAGGGUUCCCUGUAAGACCCUCUAUCUCGAAAAGAUCCGAGCUUGAAUCACUCCCUUCACUCUUUGUGUCGUCCUCCUCUGUUCUCGAUUUCCAUGGAGGCAAUGGUAGUUUCUUCUGAACAACACUACUCUUCUUCUCAAUAGCCACUGGAGAUCCAAA